This 75-nucleotide long non-coding RNA is filed under the name Lynx canadensis (Canada lynx). RNAcentral's name for it is "lncRNA (ENSLCNG00005007592.1)". Lineage: Eukaryota; Metazoa; Chordata; Mammalia; Carnivora; Felidae. The record is from RNAcentral.
GAACCUAUAGAACAAUUUUAUUUAUGCAGAAAGAAGCAAAUGGUUAUUGUGAUCUGUAUAUAUUAUUGAGAAGAG